GCAUUCUACGCAAAGAAGACUAAAUUAAGCAGAGGACCUAACCACAAAGAAGAGCCCUCCAGUCUGGAGGACACAGGCUCGGUGAGAACUAGCUGUUGGACUCGACUCGGCCUCCAUGGAACAGAGUCGUACCUGCUAGAACGUUCUUUGUUGCCCUUAUAUUCUGCCACAAACAGCUGGGAAGAGGGUUAAGGAUGAACAGAAAGACAAGUCAUAGGUGAAGCCUUGCUCAGCCCAAGGCACAGGCAUUGCCUCAGUGAAUCCCCACCAGACCUCAGUGAGGUGGGUGAAAUUACUCUCAUUUUACAAGACACGGGAACUGAGGCCCAGUGCGGGGGAGCAACUUGUACAAGGCUGUUGUGGCUUGGCCGUAUCCCCCAAAGAGACGCUGAAGCCUUAACCCCUGGUACCUGUGAACGUAAUCUUGUUUGGAAAAGGGUCUUUGAAAGUGUAAUAAGAUGCAAAUUGAGAUAAGGUCAUACUGGAGUAGAGCGAGCCCUUCAUCUCAGGUGACUGGUGUCCUUAUAAGAAAAGAAGAAGAGACACGGAGACAAACACACACAGAGACUAACGCCACGUGGAAACACAGCCACGCACAGAAAGGAGACAACGUAAAGAAGUCAUGUGACAGGGGAGGCAGAGAUUUUGAGGAAAGCCCCGCUGGCAACAGUAGAAGCUAAGAGAAAAGCAUGGAACAGACUCUCCAUAGAGUCCCUCAGAGAGAGCAGGGCCCGGCCAACACCUUGGUUUCAGGCUUCUAGCCUCCAGAACUAUGAGAGGAGACAUCGCUGUUGUUUCGAGCCACUUAGCUUGCAGUAAUUGGUUAUGGCAGCCUCAGGGGGCUAAUACAAGGGUUAAAAUGGUUGGGACAUACUUCGCAAUGGCUGGAUAUCCUUUACCUAAAGUGAUAAAGAGAAACACGCUCCGUGCAGGAAUUCCGACACAUUUCAAAGAAUUCCAGAGAUAAAUGGGAAACACAUGACAGGAAAUGAAGAACUGGGGAACUCCCUCCACGGCCCGCAUUCUACCAGGUGCUGAGGCUUCAGGGAUGGGUCAGCUGUGGUCCCUGCCCUGGAGAGCAGGGAUCCGGGGAUGCUGGCGUCAUCCUCCCGGCGUACGGAUGAGGUCCUCAGUAGUGGAGACGGAAUCGUAAAGGAGAUCUUGAGCGGUUGGAUGCCAGACCCCAGCACAGGCAGGAGCUGGAGACAUCUUCUUAGAAUGCAGAUGAUUAAAGCUGUGCUUGGUGGCUCUGUGGGAUUAGACCUGGUGACAGGAAGGGGUGGCAACUGAGCAACUCCGUGUAAGGACUUCUGGCAGUCCUUAUGGCCACACUCGGGAGGUCAGGGGCCCUAAGGAGAAAGGCUCUCUGGUGCCGAAGCCACAUGUUGGCAAGAAGGGGAAGGCUUGAGACUUUCCCAGCAGCACUGGAAUCGCAGGGUGAUCAAUUUCCUGGGGCUCUGGUAGCUGUGGGUUUUUACAGACAGACAGGCACGAUGCCCGAGCUGGUUCUGAGUGACUGAUCUAGCAGGAGAGGAGCUUGAGAGCCGACGGCUAUGCCCAGACACAUUCUUGGGCCCUGCUUCUCUCAGAUGAGUUUAUUCCUCUGGAACCAGUCAAGCCAGUUCAGGGGCUGGAGAACUACUGUCAUUGAGCCAAACCCAUGGGCUUCUGAGCUGUGAUAUAUCGCUUUGCCCUUCUCUCAAGGGACAUGACAUCAUCUCGGCACAGACACUCAGCCAGUUGCUCAAGAUGCCUUUCUUUUCCUAUGGCUUCAAAAAGUCUGCAGCAUGCUUUUGAGCAGUGGAAGAUAAAGAAUGAGUUUCUGCCCCUUCUCUAGGGAGUUUAGUGGAAUCAAAAUAAAUCACCAUGAACCUGCUGGAAUGACCGUUUUACUGGGAAGAGGAGGGGGCAGAAACAGGAAGUCCCUUUGGGAACUGGAACAAUGCUUACUGAACUGGACACCCCCAAACAGCACCGCCACCCUCCACACCCCGUGAACAGGGCAAUGCAAAAACGCCCAAGUCUGCUGGAGACGGUCAGUGUCUUCCAGGUCUGAGCACCCAGUCUGUCCUGGGGCUUAUGAAAAAGGCAACGUGAGACUCUGCUGUGCAAAGAAGAGUCCUUUAUGUGCCCCACCCUGAACCAUUCCAGACAGCAGAGGUGUCAGGGGACGGACUGGAGUUUUGGUGUGGUUUGUACUCAAUAAAAUGCUUAGA
This is a long non-coding RNA of Bos taurus (domestic cattle), 2216 nucleotides long. The record is from Ensembl. NCBI's taxonomy places the organism in Eukaryota, Metazoa, Chordata, Mammalia, Artiodactyla, Bovidae.